CGUAACAAGGUAGCUGUAGGUGAACCUGCGGAAGGAUCAUUAUUGAGCUUAUCCUUUAUUAUUUACACAAUAUUCGAAAUUGUGCUGUCCAUGUUUCUAGGCACAUUCGUUUGCUUAACGGCUUUAAAUGGUUUCUGUAGAUGUUGGGAGCAGUUGUAUGAGCGUGACUGUGAUGAUUAACAUUUUACGUUAGAAGUGAUUCGCUUGUAAUCGCGGACAAUGAGAAUUAAAGAAGUCGGCAAGACUCGCCUUUUUUACAAAACUCUUAUUAACGUUUUGACAAUUUUAAGUCACCAAAACGUUUCAUUGGUGCAUCUAAUAUUUAUCAAGUCUUAUCGGCGGAUCAUUCGGUUCGUAGUUCGAUGAAAAACGGGGCAAAAACCGUUAUUUGGCGUGAAUCGCAGACAUAUUGAACGCUAAAAUUUUGAACGCAAAUGGCACUAACAGGUUUAUAUCUGUUGGUAUGUUUGGUUGAGGGUCGAUUAAUACGUUACUUGCAGUCUGCUGUGACUGUUCUUUCGAUUAGCUACUCGGUCUCGAGUACCUUUUCGGUAUGAUCGUGCUUUUACGAUAGUUUAAUGGGUGCCUCUUUUCGGAGAGGUAUCUGCUAUCUGUCGGUUCUGUGCGUAGUAUAUAUGGUCGGUGUUGGUGCGUUUCUUGCCAACUGUCUUGUACGUUUAGGCGUAUGUAGUUUCAUGAAGGCAGUGCACUGCCUUUGUUGACACAACACGUUUCGUUGGUUAACUUUACGCUUUGAAUCUUUCGAUUUAUUCGAUUUACGACCUCAACUCAAGCAAGAUUACCCGCUGAACUUAAGCAUAUCAUUUAGCGGAGGAA
Molecule: ribosomal RNA, 837 nt
Filed under: Steinernema sp. JCL003
Lineage: Eukaryota; Metazoa; Nematoda; Chromadorea; Rhabditida; Steinernematidae
Description: eukaryotic LSU rRNA
Rfam family: 5.8S ribosomal RNA (bases 328-481)
Source: RNAcentral